This 855-nucleotide ribosomal RNA is filed under the name uncultured archaeon. Its description in RNAcentral is "bacterial SSU rRNA". It matches the Rfam family "Archaeal small subunit ribosomal RNA", at positions 23 to 884 of the family's 1478-position model. The record is from RNAcentral.
CUGACUGCUAUCGGAUUGAUACUAAGCCAUGCGAGUCAUUGUAGCAAUACAAGGCAGACGGCUCAGUAACGCGUAGUCAACCUACCCUAUGGACGGGAAUAACCUCGGGAAACUGAGAAUAAUGCCCGAUAGAACAUUAUACCUGGAAUGGUUUAUGUUCCAAAUGAUUUAUCGCCGUAGGAUGGGACUGCGGCCUAUCAGUUUGUUGGUGAGGUAAUGGCCCACCAAGACUAUUACAGGUACGGGCUCUGAGAGGAGUGGCCCGGAGAUGGGUACUGAGACACGGACCCAGGCCCUAUGGGGCGCAGCAGGCGAGAAAACUUUGCAAUGUGCGAAAGCACGACAAGGUUAAUCCGAGUGGUUUCUGCUAAAGGAACCUUUUGACAGUCCUAGAAACACUGUUGAAUAAGGGGUGGGCAAGUUCUGGUGUCAGCCGCCGCGGUAAAACCAGCACCUCAAGUGGUCAGGAUGAUUAUUGGGCCUAAAGCAUCCGUAGCCGGCUCUGUAAGUUUUCGGUUAAAUCUGUACGCUUAACGUACAGGCUGCUGGGAAUACUGCAGAGCUAGGGAGUGGGAGAGGUAGACGGUACUCGGGAGGAAGUGGUAAAAUGCUUUGAUCUCUCGAUGACCACCUGUGGCGAAGGCGGUCUACCAGAACAUGUCCGACGGUGAGGGAUGAAAGCUGGGGGAGCAAACCGGAUUAGAUACCCGGGUAGUCCCAGCUGUAAACUAUGCAAACUCAGUGAUGCACUGGCUUGUGGCCAGUGCAGUGUUGCAGGGAAGCCGUUAAGUUUGCCGCCUGGGAAGUACGUACGCAAGUAUGAAACUUAAAGGAAUUGGCGGGGGAGCACCACAA